AUGGUUGAGGGCUCCGCGUCCGAUAUUGCCAACCUGAAGUUUCUCCUCCUAUGCUUCCAACAGAUGUCCGGUCUUACCAUCAACUUCAAUAAGAGCGAAGUGAUGGUUCUGGGAUUCCCCUCGGUGGAGGCCCAGGGCAUUGCGGACCGGCUUAACUGCCGCCUGGGUUCUCUCCCCACGACUUAUCUGGGAAUCCCCAUUAGUGACUCGCGCCUCACCGUAGCGGACCUCCGCCCUUCCGUGACCCGAAUGCAACACCGGGUCAAGCCCUGGAAGGGCCGAUGGCUCUCGAAGGCGGCGAGGGUAAUCCUCAUCAACUCCUCGCUGGCUAGCCUCCUUUGGUUCCUCAUGAGCUUCUAUAGCCUCCAUGAGACGCUUCACCAGGAGGUGGCCAAAUAUCAGUCCAGGUUCUUCGGGGCUGGCGAGGGGGACAAGCAAAAAUACCAUAUGGUGAGCUGGCCUGACAUUUGCAAACCCAAGGACCAGGGAGGUCUGGGGAUCUUAUCUUCCCGUUGCAUGAACAUUGCUCUCCUGACCCGAUGGCUAUGGCGUAUCGCCAACGGGGAGGGUGGCCUCUGGCUUCCAUCAUCCAGAAUAAGUAUCUCCGGGGCCAACCUCUAG
This 621-nucleotide ribosomal RNA is filed under the name Triticum aestivum (bread wheat). Its description in RNAcentral is "partial small subunit ribosomal RNA". The record is from RNAcentral. Lineage: Eukaryota; Viridiplantae; Streptophyta; Magnoliopsida; Poales; Poaceae.